GCUUAACAAACAAUAGAAUAGCUGUACUCUAAAAGCCUAAAAACCUAUUAAAUUUAUGUUAACCUCAGGAAAUGCCUCAUAAAAUAACAAACACAUUUUGAGGACUUCAUCUGGAAUCAUGUCACCUGGAAUUGCUAGCAGAUAUUCAAUAUUAAUGUGCAUCUUUUUGAUGACUUCACUGGCACCUUCUCUGCAGACACAGUACUCAGUUAGUCUUAAACUAGUGUCAACUUCUUCAUCAACAUCAAGAUUUUGCAGAGAACUUUCAGUAUAUCUUGGAGUGUUUCCAAUAUAUUGCCAGUUCUUCUCACAAAAGCUUUGUGUUAAAUGAUCUUUCUAUUUCAUCAAUCAAACUAACUGUCCAAAUUCUUAACUGCCCCAAAGUUUUUAGUACUACUUGGAUUACAGCUGGCAAAGAUCUUUGGUAACUCCUGCCUUCAAUUAUGUGGAAGAGGAAUCGACUGCAAGUGAUUAACCAAUAGGACUAGCUUCAGCCUGUUGGUAUUUGUCUUGAUUAAUAGGCGAUGAAACCAUCAUUAAAAGAGGCAUUUGGAAAUAAAUUGUGGUGGCACCAAAGGAGUCAUUUGGAAAUAUACUGUACAGACUAGCUCCAAUAUUAAUUAAACAAUGUCUUUAAACCAAGGCUCUGUUAAAAAAAAUGCAAUAGUUAAGUGUAAGGUAACUAUAAUAUUUGUCUAAAGUAAAAUGAUACUUCAGAGUAAUUGGAUGAUUUAUGUUUAAUUACACACUUUUCCACAAUCUAUAUAUUCAUUUAUAUGUAUUGCUUUACUUUUUCAUUUGAUAAUUUAUUUCAUAAUUGACAUUUUAUUUAUUCCAAUUUGGCACAAAGCACAAAUGCUUUUCCAGAUCUUCAAAUUAUAAAGCAUAUAGUCUGCUGCAUCUGCAAUAUUGAAAUUCCCUGACGUCUGAGCAGUUACGUCAAUCGGUGUGCAUUCAUUUGUCUUAGUUACUACUUUUGGCAUGACAAAUUAAAAAAAAAAAUAGUGUCUAACACAAAAAUGUGUGUCACACUGAUCUUUGAACUCUAACUUGUUUAGAGAGCUUCAGAAGAAAGGUUAAGAAUGAAGAAAAUGGUGGUUUAGGAAAAUAAGAGCAAAAAGCCCAUAAAAGGAAGAUUUUAUUUUGGGGAAAAAAAAACCAGUUAACUGCAGCAUCAGACAGCAUUUCAGCUUACAGGCAGAAAAUAAUGGAUUAUGUGUUUACUACAUGGAACAGAUUGGCUCCAGCCUUAAAAAAGCAUCAAAAACAAAAAAGCACCAAAAACAAGGUAAAAAAAAAUUAUGAAAAUAAAGAAAAAAAACCUCCAGACCUCCUUUUGUCCUAAACACGCAUCAGUGUUGGAUAGUGUUUGCAGUUAGCGGCCCACAUGAGAACAGAUUUAGUAGGCUCAAAGUAAUUACUAUGCUAUCACAUUCCACAUCCCAAAUACAUACCGGCAGCACAUUUAGUUAACGUGGAAAAUGUGUGUGAUUAAAACACAAAACACAAAGCCAGGCUACUCCCAGAUUUACCUCCCAAUCCUAGAUGGGUGAUUUCUCUGUGCCAUCUGUGAGCAUAGCAGCUAUAGAUAUACACCUAUUUUGCUUAAUGUUUUAUAUGUCAGAGGAAAUAAUAUGAUUUAAGUAAAGUUUUCUUAUAUUUAAGGAUGUAUUAUUCUUAUUGUUGUAAAAAUCAGAAUGCCACUCCAUUUUCUUGCAUGGGGCAAGGUCAUACUUAUUGUACUUUCUAAGACAUCCAAAGCUUAAUCUCCUUCAUUAGCCUGCAAUUCUAAAGCAAAGCUUCCCACCGAUAACAAACUCAUGCACAGAUGACGAAAUGUCAUAAGGAAUAUGGCUGCUAAGCAGAAGCAAACACAUGUGACAAUUGUAUUUGUUCUGAUUCAGUA
Long non-coding RNA from Erpetoichthys calabaricus (reedfish), 1906 nucleotides. RefSeq lists it as uncharacterized. The transcript has 2 exons. Lineage: Eukaryota; Metazoa; Chordata; Cladistia; Polypteriformes; Polypteridae. The record is from RefSeq and is a predicted model, not a curated record.